CAGGAAUGCUUUGUUAGAGCGGGGGUUGGGUUCAGGAGAGAAACAGUGGCAAACAGAGUGAGCAGCUUCGAAGAAGGCAUUUUCCACCCUGUGUUUUCCAAACCACCCCAUGGGGUUCUUACUGAAGUCCGGAGGUCCAUAGCACUAGUCCAUUCCUUCCACUGCCAAGACCUUAGACUCACAGACAUCAGUGAGAACUGGAACCCUGUGGGUAUUUCUACAACUCACAGAUUAUUAACAAUAAUGAAUGACAGGAUUCCAUCCAUCUCCUCCUUCCCUGUGCCCCAACUCUGC
This 294-nucleotide long non-coding RNA is filed under the name Zalophus californianus (California sea lion). RNAcentral describes it as "lncRNA (ENSZCAG00015009062.1)". Lineage: Eukaryota; Metazoa; Chordata; Mammalia; Carnivora; Otariidae. The record is from RNAcentral.